Scylla paramamosain (green mud crab) is the source of this 702-nucleotide long non-coding RNA. RefSeq lists it as uncharacterized. The transcript is spliced from 4 exons. The record is from RefSeq and is a predicted model, not a curated record. Lineage: Eukaryota; Metazoa; Arthropoda; Malacostraca; Decapoda; Portunidae.
GCACCUGGCGGAGAGGUGAGAACGCAACCUGCCACGGCCGCACGAUUUCAGUCAAGCGAAGACCACCGCCGGUGUUAGAGGGAGGAUAUCCGAGCGGAAUGCGGUGUCUGCGUAGUCGGAAGCUGUGCUAUUGAAGGGGGGCAAUAUUCAACGUGAGUGAGAGGGCCUGAUGUAAGACUGCUUGAGUGAAGAGAACCUGACAUGUCUGCUCUGCUAAGGUGGUGCCAACUUCAGUAACCCUUCAACUAGUGCUAAAGGAGAGAAAUAAAUUGGAAAGUUUCAUUUUCAUUUCACUCAUGCAUUCUAUGUAUAUACAUACAUACAUUAUAAGGCAGUAACAUUUUCAUUUCUCGUGCAGUCUCGUCCUUUCAUUUUUCUUAUGCAGCAUAACCAAUGGUUGUCAUGAACUGUUAAAAUUAAAACAAAUUAAUGAGACUUGUUUAGACAUUUAUCUAAAACUUGUUUGGACAUUUAUCUAUUUAGGUUGUGACAACCAAGUGGACAUUUAUCUAUCUAGACAACCAAGAUAGACAACCAGGUUAAAGACAACCAGGUUAAAUAUGUUAAGAUCAUAAGAUUUCUUAGUUUGUUUGGACAUUUAUUAUCUAAUAAUGACAGGUCAUUGUUUUGUUGAUUGAUUAACCAAAUGAUUUGUAAUACACAGAUCAUAAAAAUAUAAAGAAAGGAAUUGUGAAUUGUGUG